Molecule: long non-coding RNA, 910 nt
Organism: Conger conger (European conger)
Lineage: Eukaryota; Metazoa; Chordata; Actinopteri; Anguilliformes; Congridae
Exons: 3
Source: RefSeq, a predicted model, not a curated record
GAAAGAGAGGGAAAGAAAUGCGACAAAUUGUCAGACGGUCGGAUUCGAACCGUUGACGUCGUGGCUCACAAUGAGCAUGCGUUCAGUGCUCUGCAGGCUGCCUGUAUCUUGUAUCUUGUAUGUGUUAAUUUCCUAUGAAUCAGUAAUGUUCAUAUCGUGCAUCUCCAAAACAACCAGCACCUCUCUUAUAGUCAUGCUGGCCUUUGUCUCUUUCCCACAGGUGAAAGGAGCGCUUGUGAUGAACAUCUUCAGUGCCAUCUCUGCUGGCAUUGCUGUCAUAAUUUUCUCUCUGGACUGUGUGAUAGACUUAAGAUUUUACUUUUGCUAUGACUAUGACUAUGACAGUGAGAGUGGCUAUUCAACCAGCACCUACGUCUGUCAGAUACUCCGGCGUGUACUCAAGGUCCAACAGUAACAUCACUAUCAUCUCUGUAGUUAACAACUGAAUGUGCUAUACACAUGUGACUCAGAUAAUAAAUCACAAUGAGCCCUUCCAACUUAUUCCCGAUUUAUGGGCUCUGUAAUCCAGCCAAGAAAGACUGAGCUAUACAUACUGGAAAUAUUUUAACAAGUCUUAAGUAUUUGUUAUGCACAAGUCCAAGUCUGGGAUAUAAGUAUUGCAGCGAAUGAUAUUGCUGCCAUUGAUGUGUUGAUCGGUUUCUCUUUGAACAGACCAGGUCAAAUGGGAUCACAGGAGUACUGCUGUUGUUAUCCAUCCUGGAGUUCAUCAUCUCCAUCUGUGUGUCAGCAUUCGCCUGCAGAGCAGUGUGUAACUGCUCCUCAGAGGUGGCAUGCCGUAUACACAAGCAGUCAAGUCUCAUCAGAAAAUCUUCUCAUCUCAACAAAUACUUAUGGAGGAACUCAUCUUGCAUGUAUUAACCAACCAUGCAUCCAAUAAUAAACAGGAAAU